CUGCCAGCGGGGCGCCCCCGGCCUGAGACUCCCUGGAAGCCUCGUCCGCGAGUCGCGGACUCGGGGCCCGGAGGGCGGCGGGAGGUCCUGCGCUGCGGUGCGGCUAUAGCGCCCGCGCUCCCCGCGGAAGAACCGCCGAGUCGAGCGCUGAAGGUGUGGCCCACCAGCAGGAGUGUCAGAACGUGCCGAGCCGCUCGAGUCGGAGUCGCCAGAACCCCCGGAAGACGAGCCGUUCACCGGCAGGCCAACUGGGGCUUCUUCGUGUAGUGGACUGACAGCCAAGCGUCGGGAACGCAGUGUCGUGGGUGUGCGGCUGACCGGGUGAGGAGGAUCUUUCACAGAGACCGUGCCCCUCCGUGGAGUCCAGGAACAGGUGCUGGAGGCGACGGAGGCCGAGGCAGUGGUUCCCUGGGCGGGUGUGGUGAUGGGGCAGGGGGCACUGUGGGCGGGGAUGGGGAUUCGCCUACGUCUUCAUCUGGGGGUAGUUAAGUGGGUGUCUGCAUUCGUAAAAAUUCUUCACGUUUCUACCCUUAAGAUUAGUGCACUUCACUGCGUUACAAUACACCUCCAAAAAAGUGAAGGUGGUAACACUUCAUCCUUGAGUCCGUAUUUCCCCAUGAGCUCCAAAAUCACGCCACCAAGUUUUAGUGUAAAUUCUCUGCUUUUGUUAUAAUCGAAUCUCCUUUUUUUUUUUUUAGUUUGUUUUUGUUUUUUGUUUCUGGCUGCUCCUGCAGCAUGUGGAAAUUCCCUGGCCAGGGAUGGAACCUGGCCCGUGACCCACACCACAGCACAACGCGGGAUUCGAGCCGAAUCUGUGACCUACACCACAGCUCAUGGCAACACCGGAUCCUUAACCCACUCAGCAAGGCCAGGGAUCGAACCCACAACCUCAUGGUUCCCAGUUGGAUUCGUUAACCACUGAGCCACGACAGGAACUCCUGAAAUCAAUUUUUUAAGAAAACGUGAAUACCACUUGAGGCCAUGUUAGUCCCAUGGACAGUGGGAAAUCCCUUUUGAGGCAGAUACCCCACUGUGUCACUUAUUUUUCAACUGGCCAGCUCCUACCCAUCCUUCUACACUUAGAUAAGGCGUUUUCGGAUCCCUCCCCCGAAACCGUCUGGACGGGGGCGGGGCAAGAGAUGUCAGAGUGUCUUCAGCCACCGGACCUGCCUUUAUCUCUGCAGGGUCACGUUAGAGUCAUCUCUCAGUAUCCUCGGGGCGCUGGUCCCGGACACCCUGUAGACACCAGCCCCCAGGCGCUCAUGCCCCUUAUAUAAAAUGACGUAUACACAUCUUCCUGUAUACUUUUUUUUUUUUCCGUCUUUUUGGGGCUGCACCCGCAGCAUGUGGAAGUUCCCAGGGUAGGGGUUGAACGGGAGCUGUAGCUGCUGGCCGACGCCACAGCCCUAGCAAUGCAGGAUCUGAGCAGUGUCUGUGACCUUCACCACAGCUCACAGCAACACUGGAUCCUUUAACCCACAGAGCGAGGCCAGGGAUUGAACCCAAGUCUUCACGGAUACUAGUCGGGUUCAUUACCACUAAGCCACAAUGGGAACUCCCCUGUGUACUUCAAAUCAUCUCUAGCUUAUUUAUUCCUUUCUUUUUGGUCUCUCUCUCUCUCUCUCUCUCUCUUUUUUUUUUUUUCUUUUUUUUUUUUUUUUUUUUUUUAGGGCUGCACCUGCAGCAUAUGGACGUUCCCAGGCUAGAGGUCAAAUCAGAGGUACAGCUGCCGGCCUACGUCACAGCCACGGCACCUCAGGAUCUGAGCUGCAUCUGUGACCUACAUCACAGCUCACAGCAACACCGGAUCUUUAACCCACUGAGCAAGGCCAGGCCUCGAACCUGCAUCCUCAUGGAUACUAGUCGCCUUUGUUAACCACUGAGCCAUGAUGGGAACUCAUAUAAUUCCUGAUACAAUGUAAAGGCCAUGUAAUUAGUUGGCAGCACAGGACAAAUUCAAGUUUUGUUUUUUGGAAAUUCGUUUCAAAUAUUUUCCACCCAAAGUUGGUUGAAUCCAUGGAUGAGGUACCCACGGUUAGGAAGAGAUGACUGUACUAUAAUUACCUGCUCAUGUGGCUGUUUAUCCCACUACUGUGUGGGAUUCUUUUUUUCCUUUUUGGCCACCCCUUGCCCUGUGGAAGUUCCCCAGCCCGUGCCACAGCAGCGGCAAUGCCAAAUCCUUAACCCAUUCAGCCCCAGGGAGCUCCCACUGUGGGAUUCUUAACAUAGGGUAUUGUCUUAAUCAUCUCAAUGCCCAGCUACUCUCAGGUCAAUUACUAAUGUUUCCUUGACAGUCGUGUACUAAGAGCUGGGCAUGUUUCACCACUGAUUCCUUGCCAUAAGCCUUUAAUGUAGGCGCUGAGUUGGUGUCACACCACUUUCAACAGAUAAGUGAUCCUCUCCAGGUGACACAGGUAGUAAAUGGUGGAGCCAGUCUCAGGUUUAGCCGUCCUGCCUUCUUUUCUGAGUCCAUGAAGGAAUGGAAAGUCUAGACACAGCUGACGCUGUGGGUCCUGAGCAAGUUCCCUUUCCCAGGCUUAGUUGUAUCACGUUUCGUCAUCUCUUUUUAAGUUUUAGUCAUAUUUUAUUUUUGUUUUUGUCCUUUUAGGGCCGCGCCUGCAGCAUAGGGAAGUUCCCAGGAUGGGGUCUAAUCAAGAGCUGUAGCCACCGGCCUAUGCCACAGCCACAGCCACCUGGGAUCCGAGCCGCGUCUUCAACCUACACCGCAGCUCACAGCAACACUGGAUCCCCAAGCCACUGGGUGAGGCCAGGGAUCAAACCCACAACUUCAUGGUUCCUAGUCGAAUAUGUUUCUGCUGCACCAUGAUGGGAACUCCUGUACCCUUGUCUUUAAGAGAUAAAACCUCCUUAGAAGAUUAGAAAGGCGGACUCUUCUUCCCCUUCCCAGUGUCCGUGCUGGCAGCUAUUUGCUUUCCUGUAAUAAAGACUUGCUUGCUCGCGG
This 2962-nucleotide long non-coding RNA is filed under the name Sus scrofa (pig). RNAcentral's name for it is "lncRNA (ENSSSCG00055028100.1)". Lineage: Eukaryota; Metazoa; Chordata; Mammalia; Artiodactyla; Suidae. The record is from RNAcentral.